RNAcentral lists this ribosomal RNA (439 nucleotides) under uncultured bacterium. RNAcentral's name for it is "partial 16S ribosomal RNA". It matches the Rfam family "Bacterial small subunit ribosomal RNA", at positions 338 to 795 of the family's 1533-position model. The record is from RNAcentral.
CCUACGGGAGGCAGCAGUGGGGGAUAUUGCACAAUGGGGGAAACCCUGAUGCAGCGACGCCGCGUGUGGGAAGACGGACCUCUGGAUUGUAACCUCUUUCCCCAGGGGAGAAAAUGACGGUACCUGGGGAAGAAGCCCCGGCUAACUACGUUCCAGAAGCCGCGGUAAUACGUAGGGGGCAAGCGUUGUCCGGAAUUACUGGGUGAAAGGGGAGCGUAGGCGGGUUGGAAAGUUGAGUGGAAAAGCGUCGGGCUAAACUGGUAGUCGCACUCAAAACUGCUUUUCCUGAGUGAAGGAGAGGCAGGCGGAAUUCCUAGUGUAGCGGUGAAAUGCGUAGAUAUUAGGAGGAACACCAGUGGCGAAGGCGGCCUGCUGGACUUUUACUGACGCUGAGGCUCGAAAGUGUGGGGAGCAAACAGGAUUAGAUACCCCUGUAGUC